AGAUCCACCUAGUUUACACUCUGGUUUCUUUGUACAUCUACUGUCUUUUACUUCUUUAUCUUUUGACAGCUUCAAGUUUAACACCCAGAAACUCUGUGCUUUUAUUUUGACGUGUUAAGAGUCAGAUCUUUACAUUAAUGUUUGUUGUGUUUUUCUCCACAGGAUUCAAACUGGAACCAUCACAGAGAGAAGAGACAGACGUGAAGACGUUGUCAGGUCUUCAGCUGCUGUCGUCUUCUCCUCCUGCACAGACAACAACACACAAAGUCAUCUAAGCGAGUAGGUGGAGCAGAAUCAGUCGACCAAUCAGCGUUUCGUAUGCCGACGUUGGCUGGCGUGUGACGUCAUCGUUCUGGACCACGAGGAGGAGAGCAGGUCAGUGGAGGAACAAUGGCGAACAGUCGAGUGAAAAUGGAGAUUAAAAUCAACGUUUUACGCCACCUUUUUUACCUGGGGUUGUUGUCGCUGUGAGAAACUUUGUUGCCGAAGAAGCGCGGAUGUUACAACGAGCCAGUUACAACACACGGCGAGCUCACCUGCAGGAGGAGGAGGUGAGGACAAUAAACAACCAUCACCAAUAAACAAGAGGCCAGAAGAUCCAGGACAGGUGUCUCUACUUUGUGCAAUGCAGAUGAGAUGAAGAGGGAGAUAAGAAGGGGCAAGGACAGCUGUGGGAGGAAGCCGGAGGAGCGUCUUCAGGGUAACGAAACUGACAUCAGUCACAGCAGGGGUCAGUGCACAUCCCUGCCUUUUCAUUACAUCUGAGCAGGUGAGGAGGGUGUUGAGGAAAGCUACAGGACCUGAUGGCAGGUGUGUGGGGUCUUCUGUGGAAAACAUCCUGUGUGGUCGCAGUUCUGAAGAGUGGAUAUUUUAGUGAGCUGAAAAACUUCAGGUCAGAAGUUGUCACCUGAUGAAGAUGCCUUUGUGUCUCUGUCUUGCUCUUUGGAGUCCAUUGAGGAGUUCUUGUAGGCAUAAAGAGAUCCUGUAGAAAGAGUGAGAUGUUGGUUGUGACUGCAGAGAGUGUUCACACAACGAAGUAGUUCUUUUGGACCAGGAGUGAGAACAGGUGUCUCCACUUUGUCCAUGAUUGCAGAGAGCCUUUAUACACUGCACAAGUUCUUUGAGACCAGGACAGAGGCAUCUAGGUAAUUCACAGUUUCAUCAUUUGUGUAAUUAUAGAAGUAGUUUGUACAACUUGAGGCACAAAUAGUAUGUAGAGUUUUGAACGUGUGUGUUUGUGAAAAAGAGAUACUUUGUUCAGGUAAUUGCAAUUUGCUUUAUGUGAAUUGUGUUAGGCAGAGCAUUGAGUGUUGUUUAUGUUUAGUACUUCUUCUCAUGUGGAUGUUAUGGUUUGUUGAUGAUUGUCUUGCUAAUAAAGGGGUUUUGUUUGUGUGUGUUUUUUUUAUACUUUUAUGAUUUUUUUUGUUGGUUUGGCUGAAAUUUUGGGAAGGGAGGAUUGAAGUUGAUGGCAAGUUUAUUUCUGAGAUGUGUUUUUAUGCCAGAUUUCGAUGAAUUUGUUUUGUUCAUUGCUCAAAACGAUGCUUUAAGAAUUGUGGGGGGAGGGGGGGUGGUGGUGGUUAUUUUGUAAAAGUGUGCUUUUAAGUUUGUUCUAAUAAAGAA
Molecule: long non-coding RNA, 1620 nt
Organism: Lates calcarifer (barramundi perch)
Lineage: Eukaryota; Metazoa; Chordata; Actinopteri; Centropomidae
Exons: 7
Source: RefSeq, a predicted model, not a curated record